This 683-nucleotide ribosomal RNA is filed under the name Clostridioides difficile. RNAcentral's name for it is "bacterial LSU rRNA". It matches the Rfam family "Bacterial large subunit ribosomal RNA", at positions 1226 to 1919 of the family's 2925-position model. The record is from RNAcentral. Lineage: Bacteria; Bacillati; Bacillota; Clostridia; Peptostreptococcales; Peptostreptococcaceae.
GGGUAGGGGAGCUUCCCAUACGGGUUGAAGCAUGACCGUAAGGACAUGUGGACAGUAUGGGAGUGAGAAUGUUGGCAUGAGUAGCGAGAUGUGGGUGAGAAUCCCACAGGCCGUAAACCCAAGGUUUCCAGGGGAAGGUUCGUCCGCCCUGGGUUAGUCGGGACCUAAGCUGCGGCCGAAAGGCGUAGGUGAUGGACAACAGGUUGAUAUUCCUGUACUACCGAUAACCGUUUGAGAGAAGGGAUGACACAGUAGGAUAAGCUAAGCACACUGUUGGUUAUGUGUGCCCAAGCAUUGAGGCAGUCAAAGUAGGCAAAUACGCUUUGAUAAUGCUGGGAUGUGAUGGGGAGCGAAAUUUAGUAGCGAAGUAGCUGAUUUCACACUGUCAAGAAAAGUCUCUAUCGAGGUUAAAGGUACCCGUACCGCAAACCGACACAGGUGGGUGAGGAGAGUAUCCUAAGGCCAGCGAGAGAACUGUUGUUAAGGAACUCGGCAAAAUGACCCCGUAACUUAGGGAUAAGGGGUGCCACCAUCAGGUGGCCGCAGAGAAUAGGCCCAAGCGACUGUUUACCAAAAACAUAGGUUUCUGCUAAGUCGCAAGACGAUGUAUAGGAGCUGACGCCUGCCCGGUGCUGGAAGGUUAAGGGGAUCUGUUAGAGCAAUCGAAGCAGUGAACUUAAGCC